This is a non-coding RNA of Suillus spraguei, 83 nucleotides long. NCBI's taxonomy places the organism in Eukaryota, Fungi, Basidiomycota, Agaricomycetes, Boletales, Suillaceae. The record is from the annotation of a GenBank genome assembly.
UCUCUGGUAGUAUAUCGGAUAGUACACCCGCCUGUCAUCACAAGGCGGUCGCGGGAGAGCGGGGUUCGACUCCCCGCAGAGAG